AUAAUAAUUAGUUUUUUAAAUGGAGGCUGGUAUGAAUGAUUGAACGAGAUAAAGUCUGUCUCAAAAAAAAUUUAAUUAAAUUUAAUUUUUAAGUUAAAAAGCUUAAAUUUUAUUAAAGGACGAGAAGACCCUAUAGAACUUUAUAAUUUUAAUUAUAUUUUUUUAAAAAUUAAAUUAGUAUAAUAAAAAUUAUUUUAUUGGGGUGAUAGGAAAAUUUAAUUAACUUUUUUAAAAUAAUUUAACAUUAAUAAAUGAAUUUUUGAUCCUAAAAUUUAGAUUAUUAGAUUAAGUUACCUUAGGGAUAACAGCGUUAUUUUUUUUACAAGUUCAUAUUUAUAAAAAAGAUUGC
This 349-nucleotide ribosomal RNA is filed under the name Acordulecera sp. SS3. RNAcentral describes it as "partial 16S ribosomal RNA". Lineage: Eukaryota; Metazoa; Arthropoda; Insecta; Hymenoptera; Pergidae. The record is from RNAcentral.